CCCUCUGGCUCAGUUGGUAGAGCAUGGUGUUUGCAAUGCCAGCAUGGUGUGUGCAACGCCAGGGUUGUGGGUUCGAUUCCCACGGGGG
Molecule: transfer RNA, 88 nt
Filed under: Salmo salar (Atlantic salmon)
Lineage: Eukaryota; Metazoa; Chordata; Actinopteri; Salmoniformes; Salmonidae
Rfam family: tRNA
About the family: Transfer RNA (tRNA) molecules are approximately 80 nucleotides in length. Their secondary structure includes four short double-helical elements and three loops (D, anti-codon, and T loops).
Source: Rfam by way of RNAcentral